Frieseomelitta varia is the source of this 1364-nucleotide long non-coding RNA. RefSeq lists it as uncharacterized. The record is from RefSeq and is a predicted model, not a curated record. Lineage: Eukaryota; Metazoa; Arthropoda; Insecta; Hymenoptera; Apidae. The transcript is spliced from 2 exons.
GUGGGUGCACGUGCAGCCUCUCCUGGCGGUUCACGCGCCAAAACGGGAAAAAAGUGAAAGUGCUUCGAGAGAGAGAGAGAGAGAGAGAGAGAGAGAGAGAGAGAGCGACGCCCGUGACUGACCAGAGUAGAAUGAUGCUUCACGACCGGUGCUCGCGAGGACGCGUUCGAGAGUGGUCGUUGUUUUUCAGACUGGACGCGCUGGUCCGCACGAUGAUGGACUGAUCGGCGAGUCGAUCGAGGGAGAGAGGGUUGGCACGCGACCAUUCGCCGUGGCAGGAUCCACUCGAGUCGGAUCGUAUCAGGAAGUCCUUCGGUUCCGCUGCGCCAGUAAAAUCCCCCCGGUCACGUGAUCAUCAACCGUAGGGGUUGCGGAAGAAGGGGAGAGCGGAGCGUGCGGUAGUCGGCGAUACUCCGAGGUGACGAGGAGUGCCUCGUGCCGCUACCUCUGCCUCCGUCUCUGUUAAUCGCGAGGCGAGGAGAGAUAAUCGAGGAUUCGUGUGUCGAAGCGCCGCGUGCUCGAUCAAUUGAACGCGAUGUUCGAUCGUGUGUACACGGAUCGGCCGUCCCUGUCGCGAGAAUGAAGAUCGACGAGGGAAGAGUGUACGAGGAGGGUGGAAUCGUUUAGGGCAGUGCACGUUUGGAAACGAUCGGCCGCAAGAUGAACGUGACGGCGAGAAAUCCAGCAAGAUUUUCCACUCGGAUGGACACACUCGGCGGUUACCGCGGACGCGCACGGUGCCGUUAAUCGAUCCGGUCGCGAUUGUUUCGCGCAAUUAUGAGGGCCAAGUGCGAGGCUGGCCAGUGUUCACGAAGGCUCGACCGAUGAUCGAGCAGAUCGUGGACGUUUCGAUCAACGUCCGAUCGGUGAUGGCCUGAUUUCCUUCUGCGGGGAAACAGAAGGUGGAUCGACUACCGAAGCGUGGAACCUUGACACUCGCCGGACGGACGAAUGGGGGUAGGAUCGCUCGAUUGCUCGUCGAUGUAUCGUCCCCAGACACACCACUGCCAGAGAAACGAGAACCCGUUCUAAGUGUUUGUGCCGGGUACGUCGUGCGAACUUGGACUUGGUGCAGCUAACGAGGAACAGGAGGUAUUUUCAUCGUGCACGAGCGAGCGGUAUGAGCGCAUCUGCAUCGAUCUCUGUAUGUUUCUAGCCGACGAUCGUAUACGUCACAGUGUCUUCCGAAAAUAUUAGUUGUCUCGUCCACACGAAGGCGAAAGCAAUCCAUCUCGACAGCCGAGUUCCUCCCGUUAUCGCGAACAACCGCCAGCGUGAAAUCAAAUUUCGUCUUCCUUCGUUGAAACAUAUUAACAAGUUGUAGCUUAAAUAAUAACCUAUAUAUGUAUGUACAUCUUGUAAAA